AUGGCCCUUACGAGUAGGGCUACACACGUGCUACAAUGGCGCAUACAAAGAGAAGCGACCUCGCGAGAGCAAGCGGACCUCAUAAAGUGCGUCGUAGUCCGGAUUGGAGUCUGCAACUCGACUCCAUGAAGUCGGAAUCGCUAGUAAUCGUGGAUCAGAAUGCCACGGUGAAUACGUUCCCGGGCCUUGUACACACCGCCCGUCACACCAUGGGAGUGGGUUGCAAAAGAAGUAGGUAGCUUAACCUUCGGGAGGGCGCUUACCACUUUGUGAUUCAUGACUGGGGUGAAGUCGUAACAAGGUAACCGUAGGGGAACCUGCGGUUGGAUCACCUCCUUACCUUAAAGAA
RNAcentral lists this ribosomal RNA (349 nucleotides) under Enterobacter cloacae subsp. cloacae GS1. RNAcentral describes it as "bacterial SSU rRNA". It matches the Rfam family "Bacterial small subunit ribosomal RNA", at positions 1195 to 1533 of the family's 1533-position model. Lineage: Bacteria; Pseudomonadati; Pseudomonadota; Gammaproteobacteria; Enterobacterales; Enterobacteriaceae. The record is from RNAcentral.